GCCGGAGUGGUGAAACAGGUAGACGCACGGGACUCAAAAUCCCGCAGGGGCAACCCUAUGUCGGUUCGAUUCCGACCUCCGGCACCA
RNAcentral lists this transfer RNA (87 nucleotides) under Deltaproteobacteria bacterium. Its description in RNAcentral is "tRNA-Leu". It matches the Rfam family "tRNA". Rfam says of the family: Transfer RNA (tRNA) molecules are approximately 80 nucleotides in length. Their secondary structure includes four short double-helical elements and three loops (D, anti-codon, and T loops). Lineage: Bacteria; Pseudomonadati; Myxococcota; Myxococcia. The record is from RNAcentral.